GCUCUGGCUGGCCAGUGCAGAAUGGAUCAGGGGCUGCAGGCUCGGUGAGGUCGGUCUUGCAGACAAGCGACAGGCAUCAGGGAAGAAGGUGGCUCCCGGCCACACACAUACACAUAUAUAAACACACAAACAAACACACACACACACACAUAUAUAUACACACACACAGACACCAUACACACACCGGCUUCUACAAACACACACACAUACACCUAUUCACACAAGCACACACACAUGCACAGUAGCAUACACAAAUGCAGACACACUCACUGGAAUACACAGCAGCCUGAAUAGAGAC
Pelobates cultripes (western spadefoot toad) is the source of this 298-nucleotide non-coding RNA. Lineage: Eukaryota; Metazoa; Chordata; Amphibia; Anura; Pelobatidae. The record is from the annotation of a GenBank genome assembly.